GUAUUCGCUUCAGCAGCACAUAUACUAAAAAUUGGAAUGAUGCAGAAAAGAUCAGCAUGGACCCUGUGCAAAGAUAAACACAAAUUACUGAAGCAUUUCGUAUUUUU
RNAcentral lists this small nuclear RNA (107 nucleotides) under Carlito syrichta (Philippine tarsier). Lineage: Eukaryota; Metazoa; Chordata; Mammalia; Primates; Tarsiidae. The record is from RNAcentral.